Prunus persica (peach) is the source of this 4119-nucleotide long non-coding RNA. RefSeq lists it as uncharacterized. NCBI's taxonomy places the organism in Eukaryota, Viridiplantae, Streptophyta, Magnoliopsida, Rosales, Rosaceae. The transcript has 9 exons. The record is from RefSeq and is a predicted model, not a curated record.
CCGUCACUAAAUCAGAAACUACAUCGUAGUGUCUAAUGGGUCUAACACAUUUGACUUUGUUUCUAAAAUCUUCUUCGCCUUUUUCGCGAACUACAUAGUAGUUUUAGGGAUUUUAGGGAUUAGAGAUUUUAGGAAUUUAGGUAUUGUGGAUUAUGGAUUUAAAAAAAUGCAUGACUUUUUGGAUUAACAACUACUUUUGGUUUGGGCAUUUUAACAAGCACAUGGAAGGCGUACCACAAUCAUUUUUGGGUUUAUGCUUGCAUGCAACGUAGUUUAUGUUUUGUGUUUUGGCCUCACUAGUCCUAAUGUUUUUCAUUUUUCAUACUCCAUUAUGAUUGGUUUAAUUCGUGUUGCUUUUAGGAUAGUGCAUUGAAGUUUCUGCCUUCAUUUUUUGAUUUGAUUGAUUGUUUAAUUGCUUCAAAUUGUGUGUCAAUAUCAAACAUUGCAUAGUAGUUCAAUUGUGGUUUCAUAUGCAUUGUUUGUUUGCACUGUUUUGUAUAUUUUAUUGGUUUUCAAUUGCUCAUUUGAUUGUCUUCCUUUAUAAUUUUGGUUUCGAAUAUCUUUUUUUACUUGUUUUGUAUUUUGGGUUUAUGCUUGCAUGCAAUGUCCUUUUUAUUUUGAGUUUUGGUGUUUGGUUUAUGCAAUGUAGUUUGUGUUUUGGGUUUUGGGGUUUAUAAGCAUGCAAUGUUUUGGGUUUUGAAUUGCUUUUGUUACUUGUUCUAGCUAGCAUGAUGCUUACUAGGUGCUACAUUAUAGUUUCUGUUCUACACAGACUGCAAUGCAGAGAAAACCAAACUGCAAUGCAGAGAACACCAAAUUGCAUUGCAAUUUGUUUUCUGCAUUCUAGUUUAUGUUUUCUGCAUUGCAUUUUAUACUUUUGCACUGUAGUUUAUGUUUACUUGUCCUAAUAGUGUUUUCAUUCUUGUUUCAAAUCACAAAUGGCACUAGAACAGUCACCACAAAAGAAGGAAGCUCAAAAUCAACCAAAGCCAAUAAAUAAAUUAAUAGCUCGAAAGACAAAAUCAAAGCCAAGUUAUGAUAGAAAAGCGAAGCACCCAGACUAAGUCCAGUUUCGGUGCAACGUCAAUGCAUUGAACAACAUCAUUAUAGACGUUAAAUACAAGCUAAAUGGCAGAAAAAAGGAACUCCUCCAGAAAUCACCUUUCUAGAAAUUGAUUGAGCUGUUUUAGAACGGAAGAGCUGACAUGAAGCACAUGAUUAAGUCGGACCUCGACUUAGAAAACUGCUCAAGCAGUUUGAUCCUACUACAAAGUCUUUCAAAUUUGGCACCAAAUCAUUCGAGAUCACAGCAGAUGCAGUGACUGAAAUUUUAGGAUUGCCAAAUGAAGGAAAAUCUGUCAAACUUGACAAUGAAAGAUACAAAUCAACCUUCAGAAUAAUGUACUUUGGAAAGGCAAAACCAUUAAAAGGACUCGUAGAAGAAGAAAUACACAAAGCAAUUGCCCUGACAAAGAAACCGCUGAACAAAAGCCUAAGACAAAAACAAAGAAGACCGCCAAGAAAAGGAAAGGAAAAAAACAAACUGGAAAAGAAGAAAAUGAGGAAGAGGAAGAGGAGGUUGUUGAUUACGACAAGAAUGUGGUCAGCCUAAUCUUGAUUCAGCUUUGUAUAACAUUGCUCUUCGCCAACUCUUCCUACACUUUGCACUGGACAAUUGUUGAGCACUGUGAGAAGUUAGACACACUAUCAAGCUACUCGUGGGCAAGAGCUGUAUCAAGCUACAUUAAUACCUCAUUGGUCACAAAACAAAAAGCAAAGAAGAAAUGAGAAGACUCUAUAGGGGCUGUUUGAGGUUUCACUCUCCUAAUAUUAUUUCUGCUGUGUGAGAGGACCAAUAUAAUACAACCAAUCAUUGGCAAGGAGAAGGAAACUCCUGCAAUUGUUAAACGGAGUCUUGUUGAACUCCACACAAGAUUCAAUCAAAUCAAGGACUUAAAUGACAUAGAGGGUAUUUUCAAAACCUGUAAAAAAAAACAUAAACUAUCAGAGAAGAGGAAGAGGAACAAAUAUUUCUUCAUGAAGACCCUGUUGACAACAAGAAAAAAUAAAAUGAAAAUGAUGAAGACAAAGAAGAAGGAGAAGAAGUAGCAGGACAAGUACAACAUAAUAUGAUGAUGAUGAAAGUCCAGAAUUAAAAGAGAUGCGAAAAAAGAAAAGGUUUGAGAUUGCGGAAGGAAAAGAACCUGUUGGAAUUUAUGACUGCUUGGUUAAGUCUAUGACAACCCAAAUCAACCACCGCCAACGACAAGAUCCUAGCUGGGUUUGCCCAAAAAGCAUACAACUGUGGAAGGAUGAAAUUAAUCAAGAUAGUGAGAAGAAAAUGAUGGAAUUUUGGGAUAUAUCUAUCCAAGUAGAAAAGGGAUUAACCCAGCUAGCACAAGAACUUGAAGAGCAAAAAGAAGCAUUAAGAGAUGAAGAAGAUGUCAAUGUUACUUUGACAGUGGAAAGGAAAGACUUGCUCAACAAGAACAAAAAAUGAAAAAAAAGAUAGCACAGUUGGAAGGGAAAGAACCUGAACUUGAGGCACCAACUCAAAAUGCAUAACUUUCUGCAAGAAUCUUGGCAGAAUUGGAAAGCUUGAGAGCAGAACCCACUAUAUUUGAAAUUGAGCCUGACGUGCCUAAACCACAACCAGUUGAUGAUCAGAAUGUGGACCAAACCACUCAUUCAUGUCAACCUCCAUCUACAAUGCAGUUUGUGAAUAUUAUUAGUUCUCAACAGCAACAAGCACCACAAGAAGAGAAGAGAAGAAGAAACAAGAAGAAGAGAAAGAAGAAGAGAAGAAGAAGCAAGAACAAGAGAAAGAAAAAGAGCAUAAACAAGAAAAGAAGCAAGAUGCUCAAACUCUUGAUGUUCCCACAAGAAUAAAACAUGUGAAGAACAGAGAAAGAAAGAGGCAUCAAGCAUCAUGCUAUCAGUAUGAAAAAGAUAAGCAACCAAAGAAGAAGGCAAAAACGGGUGAUGAAGAAUUACAACAGUUCAAGCUUAUCUAUUCCAGGGAGCCGUCAACACAAGAGGAACCUCAAAAUCGGAUGAAGUCAACACAAGAGGAACCUCAGCCUGAUGCCACAUAUCCAAUUCCUCAUUCCCCACAAGGAACAAGCAUUAAUGAUAAAAUAAUUCUAGGUCAAGAAAAAUAAGAUGAUGAGGCUAAACCACCCAAAAAGAAACCAAAAAAAAAAAAAAAAAUUUAAAAACAUUAGGAUGGGGAAAGAGAAAGGUGUGGCAAAAAAUAACCAAAGAGGACCGGGAAAGAAUUGAAGUAUACUAUUGAAGUACUGAAACAAGGAAGGACACCAUGAUGAAAAAAUUUCCAACCGUGAUAUCAAAGAUAUUAUAUGGGACUUUGAACUAUCACAACGUAUUUAAGUUUAUAUACAAAUAGAGGAGGGGAAAAUAGAUCCCAUGUAGAUAGACAUUCCAUAGUACAUGUCUACAUGGACUUGGUCAUACAUGUAAAACUUCAUGGAGCCAUCUUGGCAUAGAGCCAUGUAUGAACCUUUGUUGGAAAGCUUGGAAAAUGAAAUGUGCUAUUUUUCCCAAUCAUUUCAAGCACCGAGUUCCACUACACCCUCCUGGCGUUUCACAAAUUAGAACAAAAGUGGAGACACUACAAUCCAUUAAGGUCACUAGGAGCAAGAAAAGAAGAAAGAUGUGUUGACAUUGCUCAUGAUAUUCUAAGUGGAAUGAACCUAUCCUAAUUUCACAGCACAAACACAACCUGCAAUGCAGUUAAUGUUGUUGAAGGGUGGCUGCAAUACAUGAGACCUAGAGCACAAGCUUUCUUACAAAGUGGGACAAUACUAACACUUGCGAAGCAAAAGGACGAGCCCCCUACACCUAUACCAGAAUCCACAAAUGAAGAACGGACUCUCAAUUGGAUUCUGUAACGUCCAUGUCAGUUUACAUUUGAGGAGGACACAGACUGUGCUCAACAAAGUUCAUCUUCAUAAGAAUUGUUUCUACUUAACUAUUCAAUAGAAUUUGAAAUCAUUCCAAACCAAAAACUAAUCGCAUACUCGUUUGUAGGUUGGAUUGUGACAUGUUUGUCAUGUUCUACAUGGAUCAAAUAACACAGGGACAACCCAUUCCAAAAAA